This 77-nucleotide small RNA is filed under the name Xanthomonas citri. RNAcentral describes it as "sX9 sRNA". It matches the Rfam family "Xanthomonas sRNA sX9". The record is from RNAcentral. RNAcentral also lists the same sequence under 11 other names. Lineage: Bacteria; Pseudomonadati; Pseudomonadota; Gammaproteobacteria; Lysobacterales; Lysobacteraceae.
AUGUACCGCGCGUACAUUGCGGUUCCGAGCGCGCGGUUCGCUCCCGCCUGGCGACUGCCCGCGACGUUGUGUGAGCC